AGUGAACGCUGGCGGUAGGCCUAACACAUGCCAGUCGAACGGCAGCACAGUAAGAGCUUGCUCUUACGGGUGGCGAGUGGCGGACGGGUGAGGAAUACAUCGGAAUCUACUUUUUCGUGGGGGAUAACGUAGGGAAACUUACGCUAAUACCGCAUACGAUCUACGGGUGAAAGCAGGGGAUCUUCGGACCUUGCGCGAUUGAAUGAGCCGAUGUCGGACUAGCUAGUUGGCGGGGUAAAGGCCCACCAAGUCGAAGAUGCGGAGCCGGUAUGAGAGGGGGAUAGGCGGCAGUGGAGCUGAGACACGGACCAGACUAAGACGGGAGGCAGCAGUAGGGAAUGUUCCGCAAUGGGCGAGAGCAUGACGGAGCAACGCGAAGUGAGUGAUGACGGUCUUCGGAUCGUAAAGCUCUGUUAUUAGGGAAGAACAAAUGUGUAAGUAACUAUGCAGGGAUUGACGGUAACUAAUAAGAAAGCAACGGCUAACUACGUG
Molecule: ribosomal RNA, 492 nt
Filed under: uncultured bacterium
Lineage: Bacteria
Description: partial 16S ribosomal RNA
Rfam family: Bacterial small subunit ribosomal RNA
Source: RNAcentral